CGCAAGACCAAUCGCUUAGUGUUUGCGGGAUAAAUUUGGAAAAUCAUUGUUUUUCACAUGGACAGUUAUACGUUGCGUGUUCACGAGUUGGGAAACCAUCCGCUUUGUUUGUGUUAACGACAGACAAAAAAACAAAAAAUGUGGUUUACCAAAGAGCACUACAAUGAAACAAUUAAAUAACACUUCAUUUUAGUAGGUAAUUGUAAUGAAUUUAUUACUGUUGUGAAAUGAAAUAAAUAUUUUCCUUUUCAAAUAUAUAACAAAAAAAAUUACAACGUUACUUAAAACGAAUCUGGUGGCGAAACGGAGUUCGACGGGUCUGCUAGUUAUAUAUGUAAGUUAUUUAAAAUUAUAAAAUAGCAUAGGUAAUCUGAUCAAAUGACCACUAUGUUCAAUUUAAUAUGGAAAACCUAAAACAAAAUGAGUGCAUUACAUUUAUUUUAUUUAUACCUAAUUAGAAAUACAUAAAUCGAUGAUCACUUUACACACUCAUACAACCUUAUUAGAUUGUAUAUAAACAGUCAGCAUACAUUGAUUAUAGAUUAUAAAUCUCAACAUUAUCUAUUAGACUUGAUGCAUCGUCGCUUCACACCGUUACUUAACCACUACAAGACUAUAUAACAAGUAAAUACAAUGUCUUCAUACACCAUUGUAACUGAUGAAGGCUCAUCAAACGAAGAU
Long non-coding RNA from Acyrthosiphon pisum (pea aphid), 681 nucleotides. RefSeq lists it as uncharacterized. The record is from RefSeq and is a predicted model, not a curated record. The transcript is spliced from 2 exons. NCBI's taxonomy places the organism in Eukaryota, Metazoa, Arthropoda, Insecta, Hemiptera, Aphididae.